UAAGCGGAGGAAAAGAAACCAACAGGGAUUGCCUCAGUAACGGCGAGUGAAGCGGCAACAGCUCAAAUUUGAAAUCUGGCUCCCUUGGGGGUCCGAAUUGUAAUUUGCAGAGGAUGCCUCGGGUGCGGGUUCCUUCCGAGUUCCCUGGAACGGGACGCCAUAGAGGGUGAGAGCCCCGUCUGGUCGGAAACCCAGCCCAUGUGAGGCUCCCUCGACGAGUCGAGUAGUUUGGGAAUGCUGCUCUAAGGGGAGGUAUACUCCUUCCAAGGCUAAAUACCGGCUAGAGACCGAUAGCGCACAAGUAGAGUGAUCGAAAGAUGAAAAGCACUUUGAAAAGAGAGUCAAAUAGCACGUGAAAUUGCUGAAAGGGAAGCGCUUAUUACCAGACUUGGGUUCGGCGGUUCAACCGGCGCCACGCGCCGGGGCACUCCGCCGGCCCAGGCCAGCAUCAGCUCUCCGUCGGGGGCAAAGGCGUCGGGAAUGUAGCUCCCCCUCGGGGGAGUGUUAUAGCCCGGCGUGUCAUACCCUUCGGGGGGCUGAGGUCCGCGCUCCGCAAGGAUGCUGGCGUAAUGGUAAUCAGUGACCCGUCUUGAACCAACGGACC
Molecule: ribosomal RNA, 604 nt
Filed under: Nigrocephalum collariferum
Lineage: Eukaryota; Fungi; Ascomycota; Sordariomycetes; Glomerellales; Plectosphaerellaceae
Description: eukaryotic LSU rRNA
Rfam family: Eukaryotic large subunit ribosomal RNA
Source: RNAcentral